This 1124-nucleotide ribosomal RNA is filed under the name Lactobacillus delbrueckii subsp. bulgaricus. Its description in RNAcentral is "bacterial SSU rRNA". It matches the Rfam family "Bacterial small subunit ribosomal RNA", at positions 413 to 1528 of the family's 1533-position model. The record is from RNAcentral. Lineage: Bacteria; Bacillati; Bacillota; Bacilli; Lactobacillales; Lactobacillaceae.
GGUUUUCGGAUCGUAAAGCUCUGUUGUUGGUGAAGAAGGAUAGAGGCAGUAACUGGUCUUUAUUUGACGGUAAUCAACCAGAAAGUCACGGCUAACUACGUGCCAGCAGCCGCGGUAAUACGUAGGUGGCAAGCGUUGUCCGGAUUUAUUGGGCGUAAAGCGAGCGCAGGCGGAAUGAUAAGUCUGAUGUGAAAGCCCACGGCUCAACCGUGGAACUGCAUCGGAAACUGUCAUUCUUGAGUGCAGAAGAGGAGAGUGGAAUUCCAUGUGUAGCGGUGGAAUGCGUAGAUAUAUGGAAGAACACCAGUGGCGAAGGCGGCUCUCUGGUCUGCAACUGACGCUGAGGCUCGAAAGCAUGGGUAGCGAACAGGAUUAGAUACCCUGGUAGUCCAUGCCGUAAACGAUGAGCGCUAGGUGUUGGGGACUUUCCGGUCCUCAGUGCCGCAGCAAACGCAUUAAGCGCUCCGCCUGGGGAGUACGACCGCAAGGUUGAAACUCAAAGGAAUUGACGGGGGCCCGCACAAGCGGUGGAGCAUGUGGUUUAAUUCGAAGCAACGCGAAGAACCUUACCAGGUCUUGACAUCCUGCGCUACACCUAGAGAUAGGUGGUUCCCUUCGGGGACGCAGAGACAGGUGGUGCAUGGCUGUCGUCAGCUCGUGUCGUGAGAUGUUGGGUUAAGUCCCGCAACGAGCGCAACCCUUGUCUUUAGUUGCCAUCAUUAAGUUGGGCACUCUAAAGAGACUGCCGGUGACAAACCGGAGGAAGGUGGGGAUGACGUCAAGUCAUCAUGCCCCUUAUGACCUGGGCUACACACGUGCUACAAUGGGCAGUACAACGAGAAGCGAACCCGCGAGGGUAAGCGGAUCUCUUAAAGCUGUUCUCAGUUCGGACUGCAGGCUGCAACUCGCCUGCACGAAGCUGGAAUCGCUAGUAAUCGCGGAUCAGCACGCCGCGGUGAAUACGUUCCCGGGCCUUGUACACACCGCCCGUCACACCAUGGAAGUCUGCAAUGCCCAAAGUCGGUGGGAUAACCUUUAUAGGAGUCAGCCGCCUAAGGCAGGGCAGAUGACUGGGGUGAAGUCGUAACAAGGUAGCCGUAGGAGAACCUGCGGCUGGAUCACCU